Hordeum vulgare subsp. vulgare (domesticated barley) is the source of this 1238-nucleotide long non-coding RNA. RefSeq lists it as uncharacterized. The record is from RefSeq and is a predicted model, not a curated record. The transcript has 3 exons. NCBI's taxonomy places the organism in Eukaryota, Viridiplantae, Streptophyta, Magnoliopsida, Poales, Poaceae.
CACACAGAAAACAGAGAGCGCAGACCACGGGGGCAGACUGGAGCGAGGGUUUUGCCAGCGUCGACGGGGUCGGAGAAACCCGAGCCCUCCGUCCGCCACCGGGAGCCCGGGAGGCGUUCCGAUCCGCUUGGCCGCCGCCGGCAUAUCUGCUCCUCCGCCUCAGUGAGGGCGCGCAGGCAGGAUCAUGGGGCCACCUCCUCCGACAGAGCCUGUCAAGCAGUCCAUAAUCUGUUGUGCAGGAGCAGCCAGCCAAAUGAAGAAUCGCGCUUUGCCUUCGGACUUUCUUCAGCGCGAUGUUUGGGCUGUGGUAAAUGAAGCGUGCAGUGUGUAGGCAGGGAGAGCUGGCAGUGUAAAUAGGCUUGGCAGAAAAAGCUUCCAUGAGAUGGUAUCUCGCUCGUGGCCUAACAGACCGAAUGCCCUCUGCCAGUUCCCUGAUUCGUGAACAAAGUCAGGAGCCGUAUUUCUGAGAGCUUCAAGAGUCAGCCAUUUUUUUUUAUUUGGAUGCAGUGAUUGGUACGAGCUGUUGUUACUGAUUGGAUGGAUGUCACUUUUGUACCAACGCAGAGGGAGGGAGCGGACGAGAACCCUUCUCACAAGCCACCAGCGUGCUGUAGCUAAUUUCACAUCCAAGUGCCACCCCGCCGUCACAAGCCAUCUGACCGUCCAUUAUACCAGCGUGUUGUACUAGUCAUUUUGUAGCUCGCAGUUCAUGCAUUUUACUGUGCAUUGCAGGGUUUCUUGUUGGGUAGAUAAGCCAUCUACAUAUGUUGGAGAAGCUUGUGGAUCUAGACUGCAACUGCAAUGCAAGACGAGAAUGUUCAUGUUAGCGCAUUUCGCUGAUUCUUCAUCGUCUUCUUUUCCAUUGCUUUUGUUGAGCUGCUUACAUUUUACUCCUGCAUGCCAUUCUGCAUCUAGCCAUUUGUAACAUUUUCACAAUAAUAAUGUUUGCGCUAUCACCAACCGAUGCUUCUUCAUGGAGACGGGGCCUACUGUUUGACAAUUGGCAUGCAUAGGCCCAACGAAAUACAGUAGCCAAUAAGAUACUAUGAACUGAUGAUUUUCAAACUGUAACGAGGCGUCGUCACCAAUAUGAUACUGUCCAUAUGCAGCGGGCUCAAAAUCUGCACACGGAUGAUUUUCCAUUGGAAUGUGGCGAAGAAACUAUAAAUGAUGCAAACUGAACACAAACAAACAGCUUUGGCUGGCUGCUCAAGUCUCUUCAAAUGUCAGUUUCAAAA